GACGAACGCUGGCGGCGUGCUUAACACAUGCAAGUCGAACGGAAAGGCCCUGCUUCUGUGGGGUGCUCGAGUGGCGAACGGGUGAGUAACACGUGAGUAACCUGCCCUUGACUUUGGGAUAACUUCAGGAAACUGGGGCUAAUACCGGAUAGGAGCUCCUGCUGCAUGGUGGGGGUUGGAAAGUUUCGGCGGUUGGGGAUGGACUCGCGGCUUAUCAGCUUGUUGGUGGGGUAGUGGCUUACCAAGGCUUUGACGGGUAGCCGGCCUGAGAGGGUGGCCGGCCACAUUGGGACUGAGAUACGGCCCAGACUCCUACGGGAGGCAGCAGUGGGGAAUAUUGCACAAUGGGCGGAAGCCUGAUGCAGCAACGCCGCGUGCGGGAUGACGGCCUUCGGGUUGUAAACCGCUUUCGCCUAUGACGAAGCGUGAGUGACGGUAAUGGGUAAAGAAGCACCGGCUAACUACGUG
This 468-nucleotide ribosomal RNA is filed under the name uncultured bacterium. RNAcentral describes it as "partial 16S ribosomal RNA". It matches the Rfam family "Bacterial small subunit ribosomal RNA", at positions 28 to 507 of the family's 1533-position model. The record is from RNAcentral.